UGUUUCAAAUAUUUUGUCGGUUGUGGA
RNAcentral lists this small RNA (27 nucleotides) under Bombyx mori (domestic silkworm). RNAcentral describes it as "ovarian small RNA-36234". Lineage: Eukaryota; Metazoa; Arthropoda; Insecta; Lepidoptera; Bombycidae. The record is from RNAcentral.